Molecule: small RNA, 28 nt
Filed under: Bombyx mori (domestic silkworm)
Lineage: Eukaryota; Metazoa; Arthropoda; Insecta; Lepidoptera; Bombycidae
Description: ovarian small RNA-2938
Source: RNAcentral
UACAUCAGUUCGUUGACUGAGUACAAGC